CUUGGCUUCUCCUCAAGUUUGAGUGAGCCCCUGUCAGUCUACACCACCCCUCCUCAUGUUCGGCUGUUUUCAAGCCGGCACACUGGCAAAGAUGCUGCCAGGAAAGAAGGAAGCCAAGCCCAGGGAGAGGAGAGAGCUGGUUUGCUGUGGGUGGCCAGGAACAAGGUCCCGUGUGUGGAGGAGACAGAACACAGUCAUGAUAUCAGGCCGGGAGCAGUGGCUGACUCCUGAGCCCCUUUCAGAGAGUAAAGAGAGCUGGAACAAGGGAGCAAUGCUGACGGAAGGACAGACAGACAGAUGGACAGACUGCACUGGGGGCAGAAGGGCCCGCAGGCUCCAGACGAGCACGAUCAGCAGGAGAAAGCAGGCCAUGCGCAGGUGAUGUGGGUGCCAGAAGCAACCCAGCAGAUAGAGGAAUUCCAAUAACCGCACAGCACUCAAGUAAAAUAAAAACACCGUGACUUCGCAGCAAGCCAGUAUGGCCCCCUAGAGGCCAAGGGCAGAAUUUUAUUUUUAUCUAUCUAUCUCUCUGUCUAUCUCUCUAUCUGUCUGUCUAUCUAUCUAUUUUCGAGACAGAAUCUCCCUUUGUCGCCCAGGAUGGAGUGCAGUGAUGUGAUCUCGGCUCACUGCAACCUCCGCCUCCAGGCUUCAAGUGAUUCCCCUGCCUCAGCC
Molecule: long non-coding RNA, 672 nt
Filed under: Homo sapiens (human)
Lineage: Eukaryota; Metazoa; Chordata; Mammalia; Primates; Hominidae
Description: HSALNT0384547
Source: RNAcentral